Molecule: ribosomal RNA, 253 nt
Filed under: uncultured bacterium
Lineage: Bacteria
Description: partial 16S ribosomal RNA
Rfam family: Bacterial small subunit ribosomal RNA
Source: RNAcentral
UACGUAUGGUGCAAGCGUUAUCCGGAAUGACUGGGUGUAAAGGGAGCGUAGACGGUUGUUCAAGUCUGAUGUGAAAGCCCUCGGCUUAACUGGGGGAGUGCAUUGGAAACUGAAGGACUAGAGUAUCGGAGAGGCAAGUGGAAUUCCUAGUGUAGCGGUGAAAUGCGUAGAUAUUAGGAGGAACACCAGUGGCGAAGGCGGCUUGCUGGACGGAAACUGACGUUGAGGCUCGAAAGCGUGGGGAGCAAACAGG